Molecule: ribosomal RNA, 419 nt
Filed under: Amblyomma javanense
Lineage: Eukaryota; Metazoa; Arthropoda; Arachnida; Ixodida; Ixodidae
Description: partial large subunit ribosomal RNA
Rfam family: Archaeal large subunit ribosomal RNA (bases 285-419)
Source: RNAcentral
UGGUAUUUUGACUAUACAAAGGUAUUGUAAUAAGAUUUUAAUUGAAUGCUAAAAGAAUGGAUUAACAGAUAAAUACUUUCUUUAAUUUAAAAAUUAAAUUUAUUAUUUUUUGUGCAGAAACAAAAAUAAAAAUUAAGGACAAGAAGACCCUAAGAAUUUUAAUUUGAUUUAAAUAAUUUAUAUUUCUUAAUCAAAUUUAAUUGGGGCGAUUGAAAAAUAUUUUUAACUUUUUUUUAAAAAAAAUAUGAACCAUUAAUAAUGGUAAUAUGAAAAAAUACUCUAGGGAUAACAGCGUAAUAAUUUUUGAUAGUUCAUAUAGACAAAAUAGUUUGCGACCUCGAUGUUGGAUUAGGAUUCUAAUUUAAUGAAGAAGUUAAAUUAAGAAGUUUGUUCAACUUUUAAAUUCCUACUUGAUCUGA